RNAcentral lists this ribosomal RNA (2923 nucleotides) under Klebsiella pneumoniae. RNAcentral's name for it is "bacterial LSU rRNA". It matches the Rfam family "Bacterial large subunit ribosomal RNA". The record is from RNAcentral. Lineage: Bacteria; Pseudomonadati; Pseudomonadota; Gammaproteobacteria; Enterobacterales; Enterobacteriaceae.
GGGUUGUGAGGUUAAGCGACUAAGCGUACACGGUGGAUGCCCUGGCAGUCAGAGGCGAUGAAGGACGUGCUAAUCUGCGAAAAGCGUCGGUAAGGUGAUAUGAACCGUUAUAACCGGCGAUGUCCGAAUGGGGAAACCCAGUGCAAUUCGUUGCACUAUCGUUAACUGAAUACAUAGGUUAACGAGGCGAACCGGGGGAACUGAAACAUCUAAGUACCCCGAGGAAAAGAAAUCAACCGAGAUUCCCCCAGUAGCGGCGAGCGAACGGGGAGCAGCCCAGAGUCUGAAUCAGCUUGUGUGUUAGUGGAACGGUCUGGAAAGUCCGACGGUACAGGGUGAUAGUCCCGUACACCAAAAUGCACAGGCUGUGAACUCGAAGAGUAGGGCGGGACACGUGGUAUCCUGUCUGAAUAUGGGGGGACCAUCCUCCAAGGCUAAAUACUCCUGACUGACCGAUAGUGAACCAGUACCGUGAGGGAAAGGCGAAAAGAACCCCGGCGAGGGGAGUGAAAAAGAACCUGAAACCGUGUACGUACAAGCAGUGGGAGCACCUUUAUGGUGUGACUGCGUACCUUUUGUAUAAUGGGUCAGCGACUUAUAUUCUGUAGCAAGGUUAACCGUAUAGGGGAGCCGCAGGGAAACCGAGUCUUAACUGGGCGUUAAGUUGCAGGGUAUAGACCCGAAACCCGGUGAUCUCAGCCAUGGGCAGGUUGAAGGUUGGGUAACACUAACUGGAGGACCGAACCGACUAAUGUUGAAAAAUUAGCGGAUGACUUGUGGCUGGGGGUGAAAGGCCAAUCAAACCGGGAGAUAGCUGGUUCUCCCCGAAAGCUAUUUAGGUAGCGCCUCGUGAACUCAUCUUCGGGGGUAGAGCACUGUUUCGGCUAGGGGGUCAUCCCGACUUACCAACCCGAUGCAAACUACGAAUACCGAAGAAUGUUAUCACGGGAGACACACGGCGGGUGCUAACGUCCGUCGUGAAGAGGGAAACAACCCAGACCGCCAGCUAAGGUCCCAAAGUCAUGGUUAAGUGGGAAACGAUGUGGGAAGGCACAGACAGCCGGGAUGUUGGCUUAGAAGCAGCCAUCAUUUAAAGAAAGCGUAAUAGCUCACUGGUCGAGUCGGCCUGCGCGGAAGAUGUAACGGGGCUAAACCAUGCACCGAAGCUGCGGCAGCGACACUAUGUGUUGUUGGGUAGGGGAGCGUUCUGUAAGCCUGCGAAGGUGUGCUGUGAGGCAUGCUGGAGGUAUCAGAAGUGCGAAUGCUGACAUAAGUAACGAUAAAGCGGGUGAAAAGCCCGCUCGCCGGAAGACCAAGGGUUCCUGUCCAACGUUAAUCGGGGCAGGGUGAGUCGACCCUAAGGCGAGGCCGAAAGGCGUAGUCGAUGGGAAACAGGUUAAUAUUCCUGUACUUGGUGUUACUGCGAAGGGGGACGGAGAAGGCUAUGUUAGCCGGGCGACGGUUGUCCCGGUUUAAGCAUGUAGGCUGGUUAUCCAGGCAAAUCCGGAUAAUCAAGGCUGAGGUGUGAUGACGAGGCACUACGGUGCUGAAGUAACAAAUGCCCCUGCUUCCGGGAAAAGCCUCUAAGCAUCAGGUAACAUUAAAUCGUACCCCAAACCGACACAGGUGGUCAGGUAGAGAAUACCAAGGCGCUUGAGAGAACUCGGGUGAAGGAACUAGGCAAAAUGGUGCCGUAACUUCGGGAGAAGGCACGCUGGUGUGUAGGUGAAGUCCCUGCGGAUGGAGCUGAGACCAGUCGAAGAUACCAGCUGGCUGCAACUGUUUAUUAAAAACACAGCACUGUGCAAACACGAAAGUGGACGUAUACGGUGUGACGCCUGCCCGGUGCCGGAAGGUUAAUUGAUGGGGUUAUCCGUAAGGAGAAGCUCUUGAUCGAAGCCCCGGUAAACGGCGGCCGUAACUAUAACGGUCCUAAGGUAGCGAAAUUCCUUGUCGGGUAAGUUCCGACCUGCACGAAUGGCGUAAUGAUGGCCAGGCUGUCUCCACCCGAGACUCAGUGAAAUUGAACUCGCUGUGAAGAUGCAGUGUACCCGCGGCAAGACGGAAAGACCCCGUGAACCUUUACUAUAGCUUGACACUGAACAUUGAGCCUUGAUGUGUAGGAUAGGUGGGAGGCUUUGAAGCGUGGACGCCAGUCUGCGUGGAGCCAACUUGAAAUACCACCCUUUAAUGUUUGAUGUUCUAACGUUGGCCCCUGACCGGGGUUGCGGACAGUGUCUGGUGGGUAGUUUGACUGGGGCGGUCUCCUCCCAAAGCGUAACGGAGGAGCACGAAGGUUAGCUAAUCCUGGUCGGACAUCAGGAGGUUAGUGCAAUGGCAUAAGCUAGCUUGACUGCGAGCGUGACGGCGCGAGCAGGUGCGAAAGCAGGUCAUAGUGAUCCGGUGGUUCUGAAUGGAAGGGCCAUCGCUCAACGGAUAAAAGGUACUCCGGGGAUAACAGGCUGAUACCGCCCAAGAGUUCAUAUCGACGGCGGUGUUUGGCACCUCGAUGUCGGCUCAUCACAUCCUGGGGCUGAAGUAGGUCCCAAGGGUAUGGCUGUUCGCCAUUUAAAGUGGUACGCGAGCUGGGUUUAGAACGUCGUGAGACAGUUCGGUCCCUAUCUGCCGUGGGCGCUGGAGAAUUGAGGGGGGCUGCUCCUAGUACGAGAGGACCGGAGUGGACGCAUCACUGGUGUUCGGGUUGUCAUGCCAAUGGCACUGCCCGGUAGCUAAAUGCGGAAGAGAUAAGUGCUGAAAGCAUCUAAGCACGAAACUUGCCCCGAGAUGAGUUCUCCCUGAGACUUUAAGUCUCCUGAAGGAACGUUGAAGACGAUGACGUUGAUAGGCCGGGUGUGUAAGCGCAGCGAUGCGUUGAGCUAACCGGUACUAAUGAACCGUGAGGCUUAACCUUACAACGCCGAAG